GACGAGCGCUGGCGGCGUGCUUAACACAUGCAAGUCGAACGGAAAGGCCUGCUUUCCCUUGUGGAUUGCGGGUACUCGAGUGGCGAACGGGUGAGUAACACGUGAGUGAUCUGCCCCCAACUUGGGUAUAAGCCUGGGAAACUGGGUCUAAUUCCCGAUAGGACUGCAGGGUGGUUCCUGUGGUGGAAAACGAUUUUCUAGUGGUUGGGGAUGAGCUCGCGGCCUAUCAGCUUGUUGGUGGGGUAAUGACCUACCAAGGCGGCGACGGGUAGCCGGCCUGAGAGGGUGGACGGCCACAUUGGGACUGAGAUACGGCCCAGACUCCUACGGGAGGCAGCAGUGGGGAAUAUUGCACAAUGGGCGGAAGCCUGAUGCAGCGACGCCGCGUGGGGGAUGACGGCCUUCGGGUUGUAAACUCCUUUCGACCGCGAGGAAGCCACCUGGUUGGAAGGGUGGUGACGGUAGUGGUAGAAGAAGCACCGGCUAACUACGUG
This 494-nucleotide ribosomal RNA is filed under the name uncultured bacterium. RNAcentral describes it as "partial 16S ribosomal RNA". It matches the Rfam family "Bacterial small subunit ribosomal RNA", at positions 28 to 507 of the family's 1533-position model. The record is from RNAcentral.